Molecule: long non-coding RNA, 314 nt
Filed under: Equus caballus (horse)
Lineage: Eukaryota; Metazoa; Chordata; Mammalia; Perissodactyla; Equidae
Description: lncRNA (ENSECAG00000049041.1)
Source: RNAcentral
GUUUGAAGAGAGUAUUCCAAACGCUUCUGUAAAUAUAAAGACUGAGAGAGGAGAGAGCGUGCCCAGUCAAGGAAGAGAAGGUGGCCAGAGCAAGGUCUCGAUGGCGGCAGGACACCAUACGAUGACUCCCGGAUAGUUGAAAGCAGAACACUUGAUCACUUACAGCUCCAAACCAGGGAAGGCUGCCACGCGGGGCCACACAGGCACCGGGGAGUAAGGCAAGCGCAAGCUGGAAUGCAGGUGGCAGCUUCUGGAUGGCGAGCAACGGGGGCACACCGCCAGCCCCACCCAAUCCGAGCAGAGAGGGCCCCAGG